GGCUCGCAGCGGAAUGCUAUUCUCCCACGUGGCGGGCCAAGACACGAGUUGCUGGCUGGGGCGAGAUCUUUCCAGAAUGGGGCUGACAUGUGCGCACCGCCACAUUGUCACGUUCCAGAAAAGCAAUUAAUGCAGCGCAAACCGCUAUUACUGAAGAUUAUAGUUUGUCAGCCUGAACGCCACUCGCCGUUGCAGCCCAGCAUUCCAUUUCCGGUAGCCACAGCGAACGGACGUGUAAUCAUGUACCCCCCCACGGAGCGGCUCUGGCGGGCGUUACCCGCGGAAACAGGCUCAACGAUAGCGGCCAUCAGACUGUUUUGGCGCAGCUGCCUACGGGUCUUGUCGCACUAAACGCCGUAGUUUUACACGACGACAUCCGGACAAGAUUUUCGUGACGCGCUGCGCCCUCCUGGACUGCUGUCUGAAGUCGUCGCACUGGGGGCGUGCCAGAUAAAUCAUGUCUGGGCGGUCACUAUGUGCGGCGCCUAUGCAACAAAAAGGCUGCAGGCUUUCAAUAAGCUUGAUGUGUAGGGGCGGCGCUGCCUCAUCAUCGAUGCCAAGGACCGAUGGUGAAGCUGCGGCUCCGCUGGCUACUUCAUGACGUCGAGGACGAGGAUGUGCAGACGGCAUUUGCGGCCUUUGGCAAGGUGCUAAAGGUGAGCUAGGAGCGCUGGCGCGUCGAAGGCGUCAGUGAAAGAAAGCUCCACGACGAGGCUCGUGUUGUUGAACGUCAAGAGCGGUGUCGCCGCGGAUGACUUGCCCCAUCAGAUUCGGGUCGCCGGCGCGCUGGCCCUCGUCGUCGCCCUUGGCCGGCCAAUGCAGUGCUUGCGCUGCAAAGAAAGCGGCCGCGUACGCCGCCACUGCAAAGUGCCCCGAUGCUCACUCUGGAGACGCUUUGGGCACGCUAACGCAAAGUGUGAAUGGUCUUACGGCGCAUCGGUUGGCCAAAAUGAGAGUGACAAGAUAGCAGAGCAUGCCAAGGACGUGACUGAGACGGAGGACGCGGCCAGGAGUACAGGUGACGUGGCUAAUCUGCAGGAGGCGACAACCUCAGUGGCACCUGCCGCGGAGGAAGAACAUGGGCUGCCUGAACCAGCGACUGAAUCUUCGACGACGCCGGUAACGGAAAUGAAACAAGCCGCAAAAGAGGUACAUCUCCCUCAAGUUGCUGUGGUCGACGCACUGACCGCCUGCCAAGACCAGACGGGGCCGCCCAUACACCGUUUGAUGGCGUGGCUGUCAAGCGACCACUGGAGAAAGAAGACCUCAAAGGCAGCCCAGGGGCAAGCAAGACGGACGGACCGCCCGCAAAGGCGCCCCUUGGGAGACGUUCCGGCUACAAGCCACUGUCCAACGUCCCGACAGGGCGGCUGGUUGGGGACAAACCGGCGCCGCAGCAGAACGACGCCAGGCAACCGGACAGGCACGGUGAUGUCUAGCGAUGUGCUAUAGACAUUGAAGCACGAUUGGCAACACCCACCGAGGAGGCUUAGUGGCGAUGGCCUUGCGCUGCUGAGACCGACGACGAGGGUUCGACCUCGGCUGCAUUUUGGUGGAGGCUUUAUUGCAGGGAGCGCUCAGCGACGAACUCGAAACUCGGAACCCAUGAUCGAACUGGAGUGUGAAAGAAAGAUGCAGCCGCCGCGGCCGAGAUCAAGCCCAGGACGUCGAGCUCACCAGCGCCACCCCAUAGCCAAAGCAAUCCAAGACAGAAUACUGGAGGCCAGCGUGUGGCCCAGGCAGGAGUGGACACAGUAUUGAUACGAAAUACAAGCAUUCUAAGGAGAAGAACAAAAUAAUAAUAGAAAAGAACGUUGUCA
Molecule: long non-coding RNA, 1820 nt
Organism: Dermacentor albipictus
Lineage: Eukaryota; Metazoa; Arthropoda; Arachnida; Ixodida; Ixodidae
Source: RefSeq, a predicted model, not a curated record